AAGGAGAAUGUUGUGAGGGAAACCGAGAUACAGACCUUACAGAGAAAAGAGAAGCCAGCCAGAGAAGCAGAUAUGCAGACGAUCCAAAGAAAGUUUGAGUGCUUUUACUCACUACCCACAAUUGAAAGUUGUAUCUUCAUCCCAUGGAAC
Cynoglossus semilaevis (tongue sole) is the source of this 150-nucleotide long non-coding RNA. RefSeq lists it as uncharacterized. The record is from RefSeq and is a predicted model, not a curated record. The transcript is spliced from 3 exons. Lineage: Eukaryota; Metazoa; Chordata; Actinopteri; Pleuronectiformes; Cynoglossidae.